This 305-nucleotide ribosomal RNA is filed under the name uncultured bacterium. Its description in RNAcentral is "bacterial SSU rRNA". It matches the Rfam family "Bacterial small subunit ribosomal RNA", at positions 332 to 652 of the family's 1533-position model. The record is from RNAcentral.
CGGAGCCUACGGGACGCAGCAGUGGGGAAUAUUGGACAAUGGGGGGAACCCUGAUCCAGCAACGCCGCGUGAGUGAAGAAGUAUUUCGGUAUGUAAAGCUCUAUCAGCAGGGAAGAAAGAAAUGACGAUACCUGACUAAGAAGCCCCGGCUAACUACGUGCCAGCAGCCGCGGUAAUACGUAGGGGGCAAGCGUUAUCCGGAUUUACUGGGUGUAAAGGGAGCGUAGACGGCGAUGCAAGUCUGAAGUGAAAGGCGGGGGCCCAACCCCCGGACUGCUUUGGAAACUGUAUGGCUGGAGUGCAGG